This 288-nucleotide unclassified non-coding RNA is filed under the name Hevea brasiliensis (rubber tree). The record is from RNAcentral. Lineage: Eukaryota; Viridiplantae; Streptophyta; Magnoliopsida; Malpighiales; Euphorbiaceae.
UCGGCGCGCCGUUUGCCGUCACCGGGCGGUAGAUCCGAAACCGCCCGUGCCGGUCGGCUUCCCGAAGGUAUCCGACCAGUCGUUCGCGGGCGGCGCCCAUCACCUUCUCCUCCACCCACCCGCGGGCGCGCUCCGAGUUGAUGACCACGAUUUCCGGCCCGUCCGGCUCGUACAGACGCGCCGCGAGCGCCUCGCCGAUGCAGCGCGCGGCAAAAUAUUGGCCCUCUAUAUAGAUCGCACGCCGCGCAGCGGCGAUCGUCGCCAGAUGCAGCGCCUCGAUCUCCCGCA